Molecule: ribosomal RNA, 482 nt
Filed under: uncultured bacterium
Lineage: Bacteria
Description: partial 16S ribosomal RNA
Rfam family: Bacterial small subunit ribosomal RNA
Source: RNAcentral
AUUGAACGCUGGCGGCAUGCCUUACACAUGCAAGUCGAACGGUAACAGGUCUUCGGAUGCUGACGAGUGGCGAACGGGUGAGUAAUACAUCGGAACGUGCCCGAUCGUGGGGGAUAACGAGGCGAAAGCUUUGCUAAUACCGCAUACGAUCUACGGAUGAAAGCGGGGGAUCUUCGGACCUCGCGCGGACGGAGCGGCCGAUGGCAGAUUAGGUAGUUGGUGGGAUAAAAGCUUACCAAGCCGACGAUCUGUAGCUGGUCUGAGAGGAUGAUCAGCCACACUGGGACUGAGACACGGCCCAGACUCCUACGGGAGGCAGCAGUGGGGAAUUUUGGACAAUGGGCGAAAGCCUGAUCCAGCCAUGCCGCGUGCAGGAUGAAGGCCUUUGGGUUGUAAACUGCUUUUGUACGGAACGAAAAGCCUCUUUCUAAUAAAGAGGGGUCAUGACGGUACCGUAAGAAUAAGCACCGACUAACUACGUG